AUGGACAUGAGGGUCCCCGCUCAGUUCCUUGGGCUCCUGCUGCUCUGGCUCCCAGGUGCCAGAUGUGAUAACCAGAUGACCCAGUCUCCACCUUCCUUGUCUGCAUCUGUAGGAGACAGAGUCAAUAUCACUUGCCGGGAGAGUCAGAGCAUUGGUAGUAGUUUAGCCUGGUAUCAGCAGAAACCAGGGAAAGCCCCUAAGCUCCUGAUCUAUGCUGCAUCCAGUUUGCAAAGUGAGAUUCCCUCUCGGUUCAGCGGCAGUGGAUCUGGGACAGAUUUCACUCUCACCAUCAGCAGCCUGCAGCCUGAAGACAGCAGUGAUCACCACUGCAGUGAGUAUUACUUCAGCACAGGCUGACACAGAGAACAGUUAUACUUAUUGGACAUAUUUCCCUUUUCCACCACUUCUACAGUCUGUAAUUUGGCUGGACCCCCCAGUGGAGGUAUAUACUAAUGAUAGCUCUUGGAUGCUUGGUCCUACAGAUGAUAGAGGCCCAUCUCACCCACAUAAGGAAGGAACUGCUAUGAAUAUUUCUUUAGGAUUAGAACAUCCGCCUAUCUCUUUUGGAAAGUUCACUAGUUGCCUACCCCCUUGCUAUCAAUCUUGGCUGACGAUAAUGCCUGGAUGUAAUCACUCUAUGACCCAGUUAUACAUGCUUUCUGCUCUCAGUAUUUACCGUAAUGAAUCUGCUCCUAUAAUUGAGGCAUACCACCCUCAAACACCUGUUUGUAAACAGGAUUGGACCUGGUCAGAAAAAAAUGAACGUACUUGUUUAGGAAGAUUGCA
Molecule: non-coding RNA, 786 nt
Organism: Chlorocebus sabaeus (green monkey)
Lineage: Eukaryota; Metazoa; Chordata; Mammalia; Primates; Cercopithecidae
Source: the annotation of a RefSeq genome assembly